UUAGGAAUCUUCCGCAAUGGACGGAAGUCUGACGGAGCGACGCCGCUUGGAGGAGGAAGCCCUUCGGGGUGUAAACUCCUGAACUGGGGACGAAAGCCCCGGAUAGGGGGAUGACGGUACCCAGGUAAUAGCGCCGGCCAACUCCGUGCCAGCAGCCGCGGUAAUACGGAGGGCGCGAGCGUUACCCGGAUUUACUGGGCGUAAAGGGCGUGUAGGCGGCCUGGG
RNAcentral lists this ribosomal RNA (225 nucleotides) under uncultured Thermus sp. RNAcentral describes it as "partial 16S ribosomal RNA". It matches the Rfam family "Bacterial small subunit ribosomal RNA", at positions 355 to 584 of the family's 1533-position model. Lineage: Bacteria; Thermotogati; Deinococcota; Deinococci; Thermales; Thermaceae. The record is from RNAcentral.